Neodiprion virginianus is the source of this 714-nucleotide long non-coding RNA. RefSeq lists it as uncharacterized. The transcript is spliced from 3 exons. Lineage: Eukaryota; Metazoa; Arthropoda; Insecta; Hymenoptera; Diprionidae. The record is from RefSeq and is a predicted model, not a curated record.
CGACGCUCUUCGGAUCGGUUUGAUAUUCUAAGGCAGCGAUCGAACAAGGAUAUGGCGACAGAUUUUUUGUGUUUGAUGGGAUGGUGUGAGUUGAAAUGAAUGUAUCUCCCAGACCAGGUUGGUUUAUGGUGCCAAUCUAAGAUUAUGGUGUCAUUGUGUUUGAUUACCAUAGUGUCUAAAAAACUGAUUUUACCAUCUUUUUCCAACUCGAAGGUGAAUUGGAUACGUGGGUGAAAGUUGUUAAAUUUAUUAAGAAGGAGUUGUAGAUUUUCGUUUUUGACACACGUUAAAAUAUCAUCGACGUACCGAUAGUAAAAAGGUAGGCUGAAGGGAAGAUUUGAAAUGAUUUUUUUUUCAAAAUGUUCGAGUACCAGAUUCGCUACUACUGGGCUAAUCGGUGAGCCCAUUGCUACGCCAAAAAUUUGUUGGUAGAAAUUAUCUUUGUAGGCGAAAUAGCAUGAAUCUAAACACAGUUUGGUGGCGGCUAGGAAUUCUUUUUUGUUAAUGUUAGUGUGACAUUUCAAAUUGGGCCAGUUUUUACUGAUGAUCGAUAUUGCUAGUUUAGUUGGAAUGUUGGUAAACAGUGAUUUGACAUCUAGGGAUACUAACAGGUGAUCAGGCGGAAUUGUUUUUCCCCUGAUUUUGUUUACAAAGGACCAAGUGUCCUUGAUGUGAUAGUCUGAUGUACCUGUUAUGUUUGAUAAGACACAAGAA